RNAcentral lists this ribosomal RNA (459 nucleotides) under uncultured bacterium. RNAcentral's name for it is "partial 16S ribosomal RNA". It matches the Rfam family "Bacterial small subunit ribosomal RNA", at positions 34 to 507 of the family's 1533-position model. The record is from RNAcentral.
CGCUGGCGGCGUGCUUAACACAUGCAAGUCGAGCGAGGCCCCUCCUUCGGGAGGGUGUCCUAGCGGCGAACGGGUGAGUAACACGUGGGCAACCUGCCCUCAGCUCUGGGAUAACUCCGGGAAACCGGGGCUAAUACCGGAUACGACCUCCACGGGCAUCUGCGGAGGUGGAAAGUUUUUCGGCUGAGGAUGGGCCCGCGGCCUAUCAGCUAGUUGGUGGGGUAGUGGCCCACCAAGGCGACGACGGGUAGCCGGCCUGAGAGGGCGACCGGCCACACUGGGACUGAGACACGGCCCAGACUCCUACGGGAGGCAGCAGUGGGGAAUAUUGCGCAAUGGGCGAAAGCCUGACGCAGCGACGCCGCGUGAGGGACGAAGGCCUUCGGGUUGUAAACCUCUUUCAGCAGGGACGAAGCGAAAGUGACGGUACCUGCAGAAGAAGCACCGGCCAACUACGUG